GGGAACCAUCAUACCAACGCUAGUGCACCGGAUCCCAUCAGAACUCCACAGCUAAGCGCGAUUGGGCAAGAUUAGUACUACGUUGUGUGACCUCCAGGGAAGUCCUCGUGUUGCACCCC
Molecule: ribosomal RNA, 119 nt
Filed under: Gossypium hirsutum (cotton)
Lineage: Eukaryota; Viridiplantae; Streptophyta; Magnoliopsida; Malvales; Malvaceae
Source: RNAcentral